CGUCCCGAGUACACGAUCCCAGUGAAGUUCUACGGGAGGGUGGAGCACGGCCCGGGCGGGGCCAGGUGGCUGGACACGCAGGUGGUGCUGGCUGUGCCCUAUGACACCCCCGUGCCCGGGUACCGCAACAACACCGUCAACACUCUGCGGCUCUGGUCGGCCCGAGCUCCCAACGACUUCAACCUCAAGGACUUCAAUGUCGGGGGGUAC
Neopelma chrysocephalum (saffron-crested tyrant-manakin) is the source of this 210-nucleotide long non-coding RNA. RefSeq lists it as uncharacterized. The transcript is spliced from 3 exons. NCBI's taxonomy places the organism in Eukaryota, Metazoa, Chordata, Aves, Passeriformes, Pipridae. The record is from RefSeq and is a predicted model, not a curated record.